CAGUCGCCGCGGUAAAACGUAGGUGGCAAGCGUUGUCCGGAAUUAUUGGACGUAAAGGGCUCGCAGGCGGUUUCUUAAGUCUGAUGUGAAAGCCCCCGGCUCAACCGGGGAGGGUCAUUGGAAACUGGGAAACUUGAGUGCAGAAGAGGAGAGUGGAAUUCCACGUGUAGCGGUGAAAUGCGUAGAGAUGUGGAGGGACACCAGUGGCGAAGGCGACUCUCUGGUCUGUAACUGACGCUGAGGAGCGAAAGCGUGGGGAGCGAACAGGAUUAGAGACCCCCGUAGUCCCUGUCUCUUAUAC
This 301-nucleotide ribosomal RNA is filed under the name uncultured bacterium. Its description in RNAcentral is "partial 16S ribosomal RNA". It matches the Rfam family "Bacterial small subunit ribosomal RNA", at positions 509 to 807 of the family's 1533-position model. The record is from RNAcentral.